UGCCAGCAGCCGCGGUAAUACGGGGGGGGCAAGCGUUGUUCGGAAUUAUUGGGCGUAAAGGGCGCGCAGGCGGUCUUGUCCGUCAGGUGUGAAAGCCCGGGGCUCAACCCCGGAAGUGCAUUGGAAACUGGCGAACUUGAGUACGGGAGAGGAAAGUGGAAUUCCGAGUGUAGGGGUGAAAUCCGUAGAUAUUCGGAGGAACGCCGGUGGCGAAAGCGACACUCUGGCUCGUCCCUGACGCUGAGGCGCGAAAGCGUGGGUAGCAAACAGGAUUAGAUA
This 279-nucleotide ribosomal RNA is filed under the name uncultured bacterium. Its description in RNAcentral is "partial 16S ribosomal RNA". It matches the Rfam family "Bacterial small subunit ribosomal RNA", at positions 506 to 784 of the family's 1533-position model. The record is from RNAcentral.